CCUACGGGAGGCAGCAGUGGGGAAUAUUGCACAAUGGGGGGAACCUUGAUGCAGCAACGCCGCGUGGGUGAAGAAGUACUCCGGUAUGUAAAGCCCUGUCAGCAGGGAAGAAAAUGACGGUACCUGACCAAGAAUCCCCGGCUAACUACGUGCCAGCAGCCGCGGUAAUACGUAGGGGGCAAGCGUUAUCCGGAUUUACUGGGUGUAAAGGGAGCGUAGACGGCAAAGCACGUCUGAAGUGAAAGCCCGUGGCGCAACCACGGGACUGCUUUGGAAACUGUGUUGCUUGAGUGCAGGAGGGGUAAGCGGAAUUCCUAGUGUAGCGGUGAAAUGCGUAGAUAUUAGGCGGAACACCGGUGGCGAAGGCGGCUUACUGGACUGUAACUGACGUUGAGGCUCGAAGGCGUGGGGAGCAAACAGGAUUAGAUACCCGUGUAGUC
RNAcentral lists this ribosomal RNA (440 nucleotides) under uncultured bacterium. Its description in RNAcentral is "partial 16S ribosomal RNA". It matches the Rfam family "Bacterial small subunit ribosomal RNA", at positions 338 to 795 of the family's 1533-position model. The record is from RNAcentral.